UAGUGGCGAACGGGUGAGUAACACGUGGGCAAUCUGCCCUGCACUCUGGGACAAGCCCUGGAAACGGGGUCUAAUACCGGAUAUGACUGUCCAUCGCAUGGUGGAUGGUGUAAAGCUCCGGCGGUGCAGGAUGAGCCCGCGGCCUAUCAGCUUGUUGGUGAGGUAGUGGCUCACCAAGGCGACGACGGGUAGCCGGCCUGAGAGGGCGACCGGCCACACUGGGACUGAGACACGGCCCAGACUCCUACGGGAGGCAGCAGUGGGGAAUAUUGCACAAUGGGCGAAAGCCUGAUGCAGCGACGCCGCGUGAGGGAUGACGGCCUUCGGGUUGUAAACCUCUUUCAGCAGGGAAGAAGCGAAAGUGACGGUACCUGCAGAAGAAGCGCCGGCUAACUACGUGCCAGCAGCCGCGGUAAUACGUAGGGCGCAAGCGUUGUCCGGAAUUAUUGGGCGUAAAGAGCUCGUAGGCGGCUUGUCACGUCGGUUGUGAAAGCCC
Molecule: ribosomal RNA, 496 nt
Filed under: Streptomyces sp.
Lineage: Bacteria; Bacillati; Actinomycetota; Actinomycetes; Kitasatosporales; Streptomycetaceae
Description: bacterial SSU rRNA
Rfam family: Bacterial small subunit ribosomal RNA
Source: RNAcentral